GACGGAAGGAGUGCUUUUAUUAGAUCAAAACCAAUCGGUGGCGGGUUCGCUCGUCAUCGUACAACUUGGUGACUCUGAAUAACUUUACGCUGAUCGCACGGUCUCGCACCGGCGACGCAUCUUUCAAAUGUCUGCCUUAUCAACUUUCGAUGGUAGGUUCUGCGCCUACCAUGGUUGUAACGGGUAACGGGGAAUCAGGGUUCGAUUCCGGAGAGGGAGCCUGAGAAACGGCUACCACAUCCAAGGAAGGCAGCAGGCGCGCAAAUUACCCACUCCCGGCACGGGGAGGUAGUGACGAAAAAUAACGAUACGGGACUCAUCCGAGGCCCCGUAAUCGGAAUGAGUACACUCUAAACCCUUUAACGAGUAUCAAUUGGAGGGCAAGUCUGGUGCCAGCAGCCGCGGUAAUUCCAGCUCCAAUAGCGUAUAUUAAAGUUGUUGCGGUUAAAAAGCUCGUAGUCGAAUCUGUGUCCCACGCCGCCGGUUCAUCGUCCGCGGUGUCAACUGGCGUGUCGCGGGACGUCCUGCCGGUGGGCUUAGCCCGCGAGGGCGGCCCAACUCAAUCCUGCCGCGGUGCUCUUCACUGAGUGUCGAGGUGGGCCGGCACGUUUACUUUGAACAAAUUAGAGUGCUUAAAGCAGGCUAAAACUUCGCCUGAAUACUGUGUGCAUGGAAUAAUGGAAUAGGACCUCGGUUCUAUUUUGUUGGUUUUCGGAACCCCGAGGUAAUGAUUAAUAGGAACGGAUGGGGGCAUUCGUAUUGCGACGCUAGAGGUGAAAUUCUUGGAUCGUCGCAAGACGGACAGAAGCGAAAGCAUUUGCCAAAAACGCUUUCAUUGAUCAAGAACGAAAGUUAGAGGUUCGAAGGCGAUCAGAUACCGCCCUAGUUCUAACCAUAAACGAUGCCAGCUAGCGAUCCGUCGACGUUCCUCCGAUGACUCGACGGGCAGCUUCCGGGAAACCAAAGCUUUUGGGUUCCGGGGGAAGUAUGGUUGCAAAGCUGAAACUUAAAGGAAUUGACGGAAGGGCACCACCAGGAGUGGAGCCUGCGGCUUAAUUUGACUCAACACGGGAAACCUCACCAGGCCCGGACACCGGAAGGAUUGACAGAUUGAGAGCUUUUUCUUGAUUCGGUGGGUGGUGGUGCAUGGCCGUUCUUAGUUGGUGGAGCGAUUUGUCUGGUUAAUUCCGAUAACGAACGAGACUCUAGCCUGCUAACUAGGCGUAUUUUGACAUCGCAAAGGCCCGCCGGUAUCGGGGUUUACUCCUUUAUCGCGCGCGGUUUUUACUGUCGGCGUACAAACAAUUCUUCUUAGAGGGACAGGCGGCUUCUAGCCGCACGAGAUUGAGCAAUAACAGGUCUGUGAUGCCCUUAGAUGUUCUGGGCCGCACGCGCGCUACACUGAAGGAAUCAGCGUGUCCUCCCUGGCCGAGCGGCCCGG
This 1441-nucleotide ribosomal RNA is filed under the name Neocoenorrhinus assimilis. Its description in RNAcentral is "SSU rRNA". It matches the Rfam family "Eukaryotic small subunit ribosomal RNA", at positions 191 to 1545 of the family's 1831-position model. The record is from RNAcentral. Lineage: Eukaryota; Metazoa; Arthropoda; Insecta; Coleoptera; Attelabidae.